RNAcentral lists this ribosomal RNA (281 nucleotides) under uncultured bacterium. RNAcentral describes it as "partial 16S ribosomal RNA". It matches the Rfam family "Bacterial small subunit ribosomal RNA", at positions 272 to 572 of the family's 1533-position model. The record is from RNAcentral.
AGCGACGAUCAGUAGCCGACCUGAGAGGGUGACCGGCCACAUUGGGACUGAGACACGGCCCAAACUCCUACGGGAGGCAGCAGUGGGGAAUAUUGCACAAUGGGCGGAAGCCUGAUGCAGCGACGCCGCGUGAGGAAGAAGUAUCUCGGUAUGUAAACUCUAUCAGCAGGGAAGAAAAUGACGGUACCUGACUAAGAAGCCCCGGCUAACUACGUGCCAGCAGCCGCGGUAAUACGUAGGGGGCAAGCGUUAUCCGGAUUUACUGGGUGUAAAGGGAGCGU